RNAcentral lists this signal recognition particle RNA (314 nucleotides) under Thermoplasmata archaeon. Its description in RNAcentral is "signal recognition particle sRNA". It matches the Rfam family "Archaeal signal recognition particle RNA". Lineage: Archaea; Methanobacteriati; Thermoplasmatota; Thermoplasmata. The record is from RNAcentral. RNAcentral also lists the same sequence under 1 other name.
AUGUAGAAUAGACCGGGGUGGUAGGCGUUCCCUGUAACCAGAAACCGCCUUUAUGCUGGGGUUGAAUCAAUAGGGCGAUGUAACGCGCAUCUUGUGAUCCAAUCAUUGACGAUGAGACCUUGUCCUUUGGGAUCGGGGGUGAUGAUCUCAUAUAACCGGAGGGUUAUAUGACCAUCUUUGUUGCGGAAACCGGGUGAGGCACGGAAGUGAGCAACCUUACCGCAAACUACCGAUGCUCAUUGGGUUUACGGGGUUGAGAAAGUGGUUGGGCAGUCACUUGUAUGAAACGUGCAUCCACCUUGCGGUUUCUACAU